GCAUAUCAAUAAGCGGAGGGAAAAGAAACCAACAGGGAUUGCCCCAGUAACGGCGAGUGAAGCGGCAACAGCUCAAAUUUGAAAUCUGGCCCCUAGGGUCCGAGUUGUAAUUUGUAGAGGAUGCUUUUGGUGAGGUGCCGCCCGAGUUCCCUGGAACGGGACGCCGCAGAGGGUGAGAGCCCCGUCUGGCUGGCCACCGAGCCUCUGUAAAGCUCCUUCGACGAGUCGAGUAGUUUGGGAAUGCUGCUCAAAAUGGGAGGUAUAUGUCUUCUAAAGCUAAAUAUUGGCCAGAGACCGAUAGCGCACAAGUAGAGUGAUCGAAAGAUGAAAAGCACCUUUGAAAAGAGGGUUAAACAGUACGUGAAAUUGUUGAAAGGGAAGCGCUUGUGACCAGACUUGGGCGCGGCGAAUCAUCCGGGGUUCUCUCCGGUGCACUUCGCCGCGUUCAGGCCAGCAUCAGUUCGGCGCGGGGGAAAAAGGCUUCGGGGAACGUGGCUGCUCCGGCAGUGUUAUAGCCCGUUGCAUAAUACCCUGCGCUGGACUGAGGACCGCGCAUCUGCAAGGAUGCUGGCGUAAUGGUCACCAGCGACCCGUCUUGAAACACGGACCAAGGAGUCGUCUUCGUAUGCGAGUGUUCGGGUGUCAAACCCCUACGCGUAAUGAAAGUGAACGCAGGUGAGAGCUUCGGCGCAUCAUCGACCGAUCCUGAUGUUCUCGGAUGGAUUUGAGUAAGAGCAUACGGGGCCGGACCCGAAAGAAGGUGAACUAUGCCUGUAUAGGGUGAAGCCAGAGGAAACUCUGGUGGAGGCUCGCAGCGGUUCUGACGUGCAAAUCGAUCGUCAAAUAUGGGCAUGGGGGCGAAAGACUAA
RNAcentral lists this ribosomal RNA (869 nucleotides) under Trichoderma dorotheae. Its description in RNAcentral is "LSU rRNA". It matches the Rfam family "Eukaryotic large subunit ribosomal RNA", at positions 38 to 934 of the family's 3401-position model. The record is from RNAcentral. Lineage: Eukaryota; Fungi; Ascomycota; Sordariomycetes; Hypocreales; Hypocreaceae.